UNCCUAGACUCAGUUAAAAAGCCUCCAGAC
Molecule: non-coding RNA, 30 nt
Filed under: Mus musculus (house mouse)
Lineage: Eukaryota; Metazoa; Chordata; Mammalia; Rodentia; Muridae
Source: RNAcentral